This 331-nucleotide ribosomal RNA is filed under the name Salmonella enterica subsp. enterica serovar Agona str. 400095 18. RNAcentral's name for it is "bacterial LSU rRNA". It matches the Rfam family "Bacterial large subunit ribosomal RNA", at positions 2602 to 2925 of the family's 2925-position model. The record is from RNAcentral. Lineage: Bacteria; Pseudomonadati; Pseudomonadota; Gammaproteobacteria; Enterobacterales; Enterobacteriaceae.
GAGCUGGGUUUAGAACGUCGUGAGACAGUUCGGUCCCUAUCUGCCGUGGGCGCUGGAGAACUGAGGGGGGCGUGCUCCUAGUACGAGAGGACCGGAGUGGACGCAUCACUGGUGUCGGGUUGUCAUGCCAAUGGCACUGCCCGGUAGCUAAAUGCGGAAGAGAUAAGUGCUGAAAGCAUCUAAGCACGAAACUUGCCCCGAGAUGAGUUCUCCCUGAGACUUAGAGUCUCCUGAAGGAACGUUGAAGACGACGACGUUGAUAGGCCGGGUGUGUAAGCGCAGCGAUGCGUUGAGCUAACCGGUACUAAUGAACCGUGAGGCUUAACCUUAC